CCUACGGGAGGCAGCAGUGGGGAAUAUUGCGCAAUGGGGGAAACCCUGACGCAGCAACGCCGCGUGAGUGAGGAAGGACUUCGGUCUGUAAAGCUCUGUUAAUGAGGAAAAAUGGUAGUUGGUCUAAUAGGCCGAUUAUUUGAUGGUACUCAUAGAGGAAGCACCGGCUAACUUCGUGCCAGCAGCCGCGGUAAUACGAAGGGUGCAAGCGUUGUUCGGAUUUAUUGGGCGUAAAGCGCGCGUAGGCGGACCCGCAAGUCAGAUGUGAAAUCUCGAGGCUCAACCUCGAAACUGCGUCUGAAACUACGGGUCUAGAAUCUCGGAGGGGGAAGGGGAAUUUCGCAUGUAGGGGUAAAAUCCGUAGAUAUGCGAAGGAACACCAGAGGCGAAGGCGCCUUCCUGGACGAGUAUUGACGCUGAGGCGCGAAAGCGUGGGGAUCAAACAGGAUUAGAUACCCUGGUAGUCCACGCUGUAAACGAUGAACACUAGGUAUUGGAGGAUUUGACCCCUUCAGUGCCGUAGCUAACGCGUUAAGUGUUCCGCCUGGGAAGUACGGUCGCAAGCUAAAACUUAAGGAAUUGACGG
RNAcentral lists this ribosomal RNA (586 nucleotides) under uncultured bacterium. RNAcentral's name for it is "bacterial SSU rRNA". It matches the Rfam family "Bacterial small subunit ribosomal RNA", at positions 338 to 916 of the family's 1533-position model. The record is from RNAcentral.